AUCAACUUUUCUUUUUUUGCAUUUUAUAGAGACUUGGAAAAGAAAAAUGAUGAGAUUAAAAAACUAUCCAGAGAGAUCCAUUCUUUGAAGGAAAGAGGUCGAAUUGUAAAAACGACUGCUCAGGCAUAUGGCUGUAAUGGAUGUGGAAAGGUUUUUGGAACAAGGGAGGAUUUACCAUGCCAUAAAAGCUGGUUUGGUUGCAAAUAGUUGAUGGUCUUACCUAACCGGCAAAAAGAAGGAAUUGCUUUCAAAGGACUAUUAUGAUUGUUUUUAGAAUAAAUAUGAUUGAUCAGUCAUCAUAUGGA
Molecule: long non-coding RNA, 305 nt
Organism: Mytilus californianus (California mussel)
Lineage: Eukaryota; Metazoa; Mollusca; Bivalvia; Mytilida; Mytilidae
Exons: 2
Source: RefSeq, a predicted model, not a curated record